Molecule: microRNA, 20 nt
Filed under: Homo sapiens (human)
Lineage: Eukaryota; Metazoa; Chordata; Mammalia; Primates; Hominidae
Description: hsa-miR-6726-3p
Source: miRBase by way of RNAcentral
CUCGCCCUGUCUCCCGCUAG